UAUAUCUUGAUGUAAAGAGCAUGUAAGAUUUUGAUUCUUAAAGAAAUGGUGUAAUUCCAUUAGAUAUAA
RNAcentral lists this transfer RNA (69 nucleotides) under Euphausia superba (Antarctic krill). Its description in RNAcentral is "tRNA-Gln". It matches the Rfam family "tRNA". From Rfam's summary of the family: Transfer RNA (tRNA) molecules are approximately 80 nucleotides in length. The record is from RNAcentral. Lineage: Eukaryota; Metazoa; Arthropoda; Malacostraca; Euphausiacea; Euphausiidae.